Long non-coding RNA from Trifolium pratense (red clover), 2454 nucleotides. RefSeq lists it as uncharacterized. The record is from RefSeq and is a predicted model, not a curated record. The transcript is spliced from 2 exons. Lineage: Eukaryota; Viridiplantae; Streptophyta; Magnoliopsida; Fabales; Fabaceae.
AAGGAGUACAAGGGGUACUCAUCCCUUACAAUUCAAAUAAAAUCACCCUAGACAGACUAAAGGAUUGUUACACCAGUCAGAAAAUGCUAAAUUAACAUUAUUCCCUAAUCGCCCUAAAAGCCAAAACCAAGAAAUGUAAAUAAUUUUGUUCACUAAAGAAGAUACAUUAACUCAAUCUCCUCUAAAUACAAUAUUAUUUCGAAAGCACCCAGUUAACAUUUUUGUGCCCCCAUAGGUUGUGAAUGAGAAAAUCAUCGCUUUCUUUGUUUCUUGAAGUAAACAAACAUCGAAAACACGUUUUUGAAGAAACAAACUCAACUGCCGCUGUUUAGCACUUUCACCCCACCCUCUCAUAUUCAAAGAGACGAUCUUCAAUGAUGGAGAGAUUGUUGUUGCUCCCUCCUAAAUAUCAUAUUCAUAAUUAUCAUAUUAGUAGAGCAUUUUUUUAUUGAAGAAUAACUAUAAUGCUUCUGUAUUUUUUUUGAACGGCCAAAUGAUAUUUAUAUUUAAAAAACGAAUUGGAAAAAAGUACAAGUGGUACUCAAUUCAUUUCUAAAGAAAAAGUACAAAUAGUACUCCACCCAAUCCGAAGAAACCAUACCCAAAACUAUCAGCUAUACAAUCAAAAGGAUUCGUACACCACUCAUAAAACAAGCAAGGUGUACCAAUCUUUUUUGCCAAAAGCCAUUUUUAAGAAACAAGCUUAAUUCUAUCCACCAUCUCUUGUAGCUCUACAAUUCUCCCCAAAAAAAUCCUAUCAUUCCGAGAGCGCCAUAAAGUCCAAAUGUUGGGAUGAUUGACAUAUAGUAGAUGCAUCAUUUUCUAUAAUUCUAGAGAGAUUUGAAGAAUUGGAACGAAUGUGACACAUAUAGUCCUUGUGUGACCGGUGGCAAUGUGGCCUUCGGUUUUCCCGAUUCCAUGAUAUUUUUUUAGUUUGAGUUGCUUUUGGUUUUCCAUUUGAUGAAGUGAAUGGUGCCCUUAUCGUACUUCUUAUGGUUAUCUAACUAAGACAUUAAUUUGUUCUUCACAAUUUGACAUGCCUGCAGUACAUGCAGCAACCAAAAUAUUUCACAGUUUUGAAAUCGUAACUCUAGGAAUAACAUAGAUCUAAUAAUAUUGUGAUGAUUCAAUUUCUAUAUCAAUUGUUUUUAUAACAAUAUGCUAAUUCAUAUUUUUCUUUUGUGUUUUCGAAUUAAUUAUUUUCUAAAAAAAUAAAAAUUUAAUGUGUUCAUCAUCUUCUUCUGUGUAUUCAUAAUCUUCAUCACCAUGUGUUCAUCAUUUUCACCAAUUUCAUCAAAAUCCCAAAAAUUUAAAAAACACUGUUGUCAAAAUUAAUUAACUCAAACAAAUCAAAAUUAUUUUCGGUAAACCUUAAACAUAUUCAUCAUCUUCAAAAAUCAAAAUCCCUAAAUUGAUCAUAUUGCAUGAUACUCUACUACUUGAAGUAAGGUUUUGCUUAUCAAAAAAAAAAAAAAAAACUUGAAGUAAGGUUUUAUUCUACACUUGAUUAUAUUGUUUAGUACAAUAUACAUUAAAGUGAAAAAUCGCGAAACAGAAUGAGAACUUUGUUUAGAAUCAAUUAUGAGGGAAUCUUGGAUUAUAGAGUAAAAUAUCAUUAUAGAAUAAUUUUCUUUUGAACUGUAGGUACUUGUUGAUGGCAUUAAUGCAUAUUCCAUUUUAUGGCUUCUUUUUGGUGAUUCUAGAAACGAAACACUAUUUCUUGUCAAAAUGGUUUCCAUCAUCUAUUUCCGCUUUAUUGUCAAACAAUAUUAUUUUUAAUUUGUGAUUUUUCGUUUUCUAUCAUGAAAGCUUAUAAACUAAUUAAAGAAAAAUUGUUAAAAAAUAUGGAUUAUUUAAAUUUGUAUAUUUUACAUGACCUCUUUACAAAAGUUGUUAAAGGGGCAACACAUUGGUGUACUUAAUUAAGAGACAGCUAAUAAUUAUAAACAAAAAAUGGAAGUUUUUCACAACUCUGAAAGUACUAUAAAAACUAUUUAUUAAUUGAUGUAAGGAGAACAAUAGCUUUAUAAAUCAAGACGUGAUAAAGUACAAUUCUAUGUAAUACAUCCAAAAGGUGGAGAAAAUAUGGAUAAAAUUUUCAAGUUUGUUAAUGUUGUGAUAAUCAUUCUUUCCCUAUUACUUGUUUCAAUACAAAGUCAGGUUUAUGCUGCCAAGCCAUGUAAAACUGAUGGUGAUUGUCGAGUCCGUUCCUACCGUGCUUCCCAUCAAUAUCCUGUAAGAAUGAGGUGUCGUAAUGGUUUUUGUAUAGAAGGCUAAUUAUAAACGUAUUACUAAAAUAUUCCAUGAAUUCUUCUUUAGGUGAUGUGAUCACCCAUUAAAUAAAUUUUCUUUUAGCUUUUCUAAUUUCAAAUACCUUAUUAGUUUUGUACUUUAAGAUGAUGUAAGCGAAAUGAAAUAAAGCAUGAAAAAUAUUAUCUAAAUUUUCUUCUUCUA